GUAUGUUUUUUAAAGGAAGCGCAAACAUUUGGUUCAGAUAAUAUUGUGCCAACUUUUAUUAAUUAGGAGAAACAACAAAUUUGUCUGUUUACCUUUCAGCACAUGUAUGUAUUUAGAUAAGGAAUGAGGACCUUUGAAGUCAAUAGCUAGGGAGAACAAUGAGUACAUUUAUGAAUUAACCUUUUUUUUAUAUGAAUAAAACUAGGAAAUGGUUGCCUUGGUGUAGUGGACACUGUUGGGUGUCCUGUCUGGAUUUCCUGCAGUCCAAGCACCCGUCUGUCCUCUAGCUGCUUUGAGUGGUCGCUGCUCAUGGCUCACAAUGGCUCACUUUUCCAGAAAUUGCCCUCUGUCGAAUGGAAACUGACUCUCCUAGAGGUUAUAUUCUCCACACCUCAGCUUGCAGCAAAAACUGACUGAUAUGGAGUUAAAAUAUCUGGCAUCUCAUCUCAGGGUGGAACAAACUCUGCAUGUGAUUUAGGCUCCAGAAACCCUUUGGGUCAGGCCAACACUGGGCUUUAUCUGAAGCACUAUCUUUGCUUGACUCCUGGACCUUCCCUGUCCUGCUGCCCUCAGCCUCUU
This 579-nucleotide long non-coding RNA is filed under the name Homo sapiens (human). RNAcentral's name for it is "HSALNT0153444". Lineage: Eukaryota; Metazoa; Chordata; Mammalia; Primates; Hominidae. The record is from RNAcentral.